UACGUAGGGUGCGAGCGUUGUCCGGAAUUAUUGGGCGUAAAGAGCUUGUAGGCGGUCUGUCGCGUCUGCUGUGAAAAUCCGGGGCUCAACCCCGGACUUGCAGUGGGUACGGGCAGACUAGAGUGUGGUAGGGGAGACUGGAAUUCCUGGUGUAGCGGUGAAAUGCGCAGAUAUCAGGAGGAACACCGAUGGCGAAGGCAGGUCUCUGGGCCACUACUGACGCUGAGACUCGAAAGCGUGGGGAGCAAACAGG
RNAcentral lists this ribosomal RNA (253 nucleotides) under uncultured bacterium. Its description in RNAcentral is "partial 16S ribosomal RNA". It matches the Rfam family "Bacterial small subunit ribosomal RNA", at positions 524 to 776 of the family's 1533-position model. The record is from RNAcentral.